This 600-nucleotide ribosomal RNA is filed under the name Russula sororia. RNAcentral describes it as "eukaryotic LSU rRNA". The stretch from base 208 to 361 matches the Rfam family "5.8S ribosomal RNA". The record is from RNAcentral. Lineage: Eukaryota; Fungi; Basidiomycota; Agaricomycetes; Russulales; Russulaceae.
GGAGGUGCUGGGGUUGUCGCUGACCUUUGAAAGGGUCGUGCACGCCUCGGUGCUUUCACACAUAAUCCAUCUCACCCCUUUUGUGCAUCACCGCGUGGGGGCCCCUUUUAGCUAGUUCUGAAGGGGGCUUUUCACGUUUUUACAAACACACCCUUUUAAUGCAAUGUGUAGAAUGUCUUACCUUUUGCGAUCACACGCAAUCAAUACAACUUUCAACAACGGAUCUCUUGGCUCUCGCAUCGAUGAAGAACGCAGCGAAAUGCGAUACGUAAUGUGAAUUGCAGAAUUCAGUGAAUCAUCGAAUCUUUGAACGCACCUUGCGCCCUUUGGCAUUCCGAAGGGCACACCCGUUUGAGUGUCGUGACAUCCUCAAACCUUCUUGGUUUCUUGACUGAGAAGGCUUUGGACUUUGGAGGCUUUUGCUGGACCUUCGCUCGUUGAAGCCAGCUCCUCUGAAAUGAAUUAGUGGGGUCUGCUUUGCUGAUCCUUGACGUGAUAAGAUGCUUCUACGUCUUGGGUUUUGCACUGGUUGCUCUAGAUCCUGCUUCUAACUGUCUUGUAGAAGACAAAUGGUCGACUUGACCGACAAACCUGACCUCA